UUCAGGUCAAACUGUCCUGUUCGAUACAUACAAAUCCAAAUAGAACCCGGACAUUUCUUACAAAUAUAGGUAUGCCGUUUUAGAUUAAAAUAGCUAAUAUUGUUCUGAAGUUUUACUGAGUAUAGACAUCACAAGGAUUUUCUUUCAACAGGCAGUUACCGUACAUUGUUCUUCCAGGUCCUGUCGUGUUUCUACAUGCCGCUGUCAGCAUGGCACCGAAAGCAGAAGAACUUAAGGCGGCAAUAGCCAAAACAAAUUAUGUUAAUGUGAAGAACGAGUUUCAAAAUGACAACGAUGAAGGAGAGGAUGACGAAAAAGAAAACAUGUAUGGUGAUAGUCCUCAACCGGACGACGAAUUUAAUUUGGACGAGGUUUUGCGUUUGGGUGGAACCCGAGAACACAUCGACAACAGCCACCCUCGAAGCAGCGUUACCAUGCAGAGCAAGGGGACCAACUACUCCAAGUCUCAGAACCUGGAUGACGACUUGGCUGGUGAUCUGGAUGAGGAGGUGUCCCUAGGCAGUUUGGAUGAGGACUUUGGAGAUGAACUUGGGGAGGAGCCUUCAUGGACAGCAUUGGAGAGGAUAAUGAGGAAGGUUCACACUUGACUCUAAUUUGUCUUUCAGUUCCAGAACUUGAUGAUGAUAACUGAUUCAGAUGAGAUGGAGGUUCCACACACAAGGCCAGGUUCUAAAAAGAGGAAUGCAUCAGAGGAUCUUGACUUCAGUGAUUCUUUAGGUUCCAAACCAGGGAAGGAAAGGAGGAAACAGCCAUGUUGGCAUCUGCUGAAGAGUUUGUGUAUAUGUUGGAUGAAAAUGCUGGUUCUAAGUUUGACAACAUUGGCAUGAAUGCUAUGGCCAACAAAGACAACGCAGGUGUCAGGCAGCUCAAGUGGGAAGCCCAGAAAGACGACUGGGUCCGUGGCAGAGACAUCAAGACCCUAAUGAAGAAGAAGGCCAUGUUUAACAAGAAGAAACAGUUUGGCAAAAAGACUUUCAAGAAGAAGUAAUACUUUCUGGACCUAAGAUUACUUAUGUUUGUUCACACACCUCUAUUCCUUCUUGGACCAAUCUUCAAGGUCUUUCUCUCGAAUCCCAUAAACCCCAGCAUAUUCGUUGGACUUGUAAUAAACUGGAAAGAGAGUGAUAGUCUCUCAGCAUUCAACACAUUUAAUCACAUGAUGGUUCAGUGGGCAGCAUGUCCAAUAACUCUGUAUUGUAUUUUGUAUAGGUUUAUACAAAAUGAAAACAGUAUACUAGGAGAUGUCUGGUUUGCAGUGAUUGUAACUGGGGGGGAAAGUGUAAUAAUAUCGGCUGAUUUCAUUGCUGUGCAGCUUGGAAUUGAGGACCAAUUCCUCCAGUUUGUGUGUGUGUUGAACUGUCUACAUCCCUUACCUUCCAGGACAGAGGGAAGCAUGUUGUUCAUUCUGUUCCUGAAAUCUAAAAACAGAAAAUGUUGUUACAAAGGUGUACAUAGCCCAAGGUAGAGUCCAUGACGUCCUUUCUUAUAAAAUGUAAAUAAUA
This is a non-coding RNA of Oncorhynchus mykiss (rainbow trout), 1523 nucleotides long. The record is from RefSeq and is a predicted model, not a curated record. NCBI's taxonomy places the organism in Eukaryota, Metazoa, Chordata, Actinopteri, Salmoniformes, Salmonidae.